This 828-nucleotide ribosomal RNA is filed under the name Enterococcus faecalis. RNAcentral describes it as "partial 23S ribosomal RNA". It matches the Rfam family "Bacterial large subunit ribosomal RNA", at positions 1 to 832 of the family's 2925-position model. Lineage: Bacteria; Bacillati; Bacillota; Bacilli; Lactobacillales; Enterococcaceae. RNAcentral also lists the same sequence under 1 other name. The record is from RNAcentral.
GGUUAAGUGAAUAAGGGCGCACGGUGGAUGCCUUGGCACUAGGAGCCGAUGAAGGACGGGACUAACACCGAUAUGCUUUGGGGAGCUGUAAGUAAGCUAUGAUCCAGAGAUUUCCGAAUGGGGGAACCCAAUAUCUUUUAUAGGAUAUUACUUUUCAGUGAAUACAUAGCUGAUUAGAGGUAGACGCAGAGAACUGAAACAUCUUAGUACCUGCAGGAAGAGAAAGAAAAUUCGAUUCCCUGAGUAGCGGCGAGCGAAACGGGAAGAGCCCAAACCAACAAGCUUGCUUGUUGGGGUUGUAGGACUCCAAUAUGGUAGUCUGUUAGUAUAGUUGAAGGAUUUGGAAAAUUCCGCUAAAGAGGGUGAAAGCCCCGUAGACGAAAUGCUGACAACACCUAGGAGGAUCCUGAGUACGGCGGAACACGAGAAAUUCCGUCGGAAUCCGCGGGGACCAUCCCGCAAGGCUAAAUACUCCCUAGUGACCGAUAGUGAACCAGUACCGUGAGGGAAAGGUGAAAAGCACCCCGGAAGGGGAGUGAAAUAGAUCCUGAAACCGUGUGCCUACAACAAGUCAAAGCUCGUUAAUGAGUGAUGGCGUGCCUUUUGUAGAAUGAACCGGCGAGUUACGAUUGCAUGCGAGGUUAAGUCGAAGAGACGGAGCCGCAGCGAAAGCGAGUCUGAAUAGGGCGAAUGAGUAUGUAGUCGUAGACCCGAAACCAUGUGAUCUACCCAUGUCCAGGUUGAAGGUGCGGUAAAACGCACUGGAGGACCGAACCCACGUACGUUGAAAAGUGCGGGGAUGAGGUGUGGGUAGCGGAGAAAUUCCAA